CCAAUAGCGUAUAUUAAAGUUGUUGCAGUUAAAAAGCUCGUAGUUGAACUUCGGGGUUUACCCAUUGGUCAGGCUUAAUUGUCUGUACUGGUGAGAUAAAUCUCUACCUUCUGAGGAACUUUCAUGUCAUUAAUUUGGUGUGAUUGGAAAUCAGGACUGUUACUUUGAAAAAAUUAGAGUGUUUAAAGCAGGCUAACGUCUGAAUACAUUAGCAUGGAAUAAUGAAAUAGGACGGACUGAUUCUAUUUCGUUGGUUUCUAGGAUCACCGUAAUGAUUAAUAGGGAUAGUUGGGGGCAUUAGUAUUAAAUUGUCAGAGGUGAAAUUCUUGGAUUAAUUGAAGACUAACUACUGCGAAAGCAUUUGCCAAGGAUGUUUUCAUUAAUCAAGAACGAAAGUUAGGGGAUCGAAGACGAUCAGAUACCGUCGUAGUCUUAACCAUAAACUAUGCCGACUAGGGAUCGGACGAAGUUAAUUUUAUAAUGACGCGUUCGGCACCUUACG
This 502-nucleotide ribosomal RNA is filed under the name uncultured Glomeromycotina. RNAcentral's name for it is "partial small subunit ribosomal RNA". It matches the Rfam family "Eukaryotic small subunit ribosomal RNA", at positions 591 to 1092 of the family's 1831-position model. Lineage: Eukaryota; Fungi; Glomeromycota. The record is from RNAcentral.